RNAcentral lists this long non-coding RNA (4326 nucleotides) under Cucumis sativus (cucumber). RNAcentral's name for it is "long non-coding RNA (CSAT_LNC002289)". Lineage: Eukaryota; Viridiplantae; Streptophyta; Magnoliopsida; Cucurbitales; Cucurbitaceae. The record is from RNAcentral.
CAAUAGAUUAUAUUUACAAUCUACGAGUUUUAGGAUAUAAAUCUCAACAAACUAUAUAAGAAGCUUCAUCACCACCAAGAAAAGCAGGCUUGUAUGAGUCAUAAAGGUCUUAAUAGACCAAAACCUAGAGAGUUGGUGACAAUGAUUUUACCAUCAUCUGUGAAGUACUUCUUCAUCUUCUCCGAUCAAUCUGUGGAGUGAAAGCCCGUAGCCUAAGUGAGGAAGAUCUCAUUCCCAUCUUCUUGCCUAUCCUUUGCACGAGCUCCCUUGCAAUUUGAUAGAUUCUUCUUUUAUUCAUAAUCUUGCGUUAAGACAUUAAAAUUAUCGUAAAAUAGACAUGGAGGCUUAUGUAAAGUACAUUUCCAAAUAUUUAUGGAUUUUCAACAUAAUAUAUGUGUUUUGACACUUUUGUUAUACGUUUUGGCUUCAUUAUUCUACCUAAAAGGUCAUAAUAACUGAUAUUUCUACAAGUUAUCACUCGUCUUCAAGAUGAUGAGGAUGAUGCAACUCCGCCUCCUUCUCACCAAGAUGACGACGACGAGGCAACUUUGCAUCUGGCUCUCCAAGAUAAUCACAAUGGUGCAACUCUACCUCUGCCUCUUCAAGAUGAUGACAACGAUGCAACUUUGCCUCCACCUCUCCAAGAUAACGAUGAUGAUGCAACUCUACCCCUGCGCUCUCUAAGAUGAUGACGAGGAUGCAACUUUGCCUCUGCGUCUCCAAGAUGACGAUGAUGGUUCAACUCCUCCUCCCUCUUUCCAAGAUGAUGACAAUAUGGUGCGCUUUGUCUUCGCCUCUCCAAGAUGAUAACGAUGGUGCAACUCUACCUCUGUCUCCAAAAAAAAGAUGGUACAGUUCCGCCUCUUCAGAAUGAUGACAAAACAAAAAUGUUUGAUCAUUCAUAGUAGAAGUUGCAUCGUUGAUAGCAGAGUCAUCCCUACAAACGGUUGCAAAAAAGAAGAAGAAGAAAGAAAAAGGAUCUCACCUUUUGAGAAUAUGUUUUGAAGCAAAAAAAAAAAAAAAAAACGCGAAAAUUCUAGCUCUUGUAAAGAAAUAAAGAAGAAGGGGCAUAAAGUUAGAAAAAAGAAAAAGAAAAGGAAAAAAAUUAAAUUAAAAAAUAAAAAAAGAAGGAGAGAAUGUUUUUUCAUACCUCAAUUAUGCUUAACGAGGGAAGAAUGAUCGAGGUGUGCUAAAUAGAGGAGUUCUCUUCAUUUGUGGGGGCCAUAAAUUUUCUUCUACAUAAGGUUUAGAAAGAAUAUGAAAAUUGAAAUUCUUUUGAAGAUAAAAGCUUUAUUCCAAGAGUUUGUGUUAUGCUUCCUCAAACGAGAAUCAGUAAGAAUCUGACCAAAAGAGAAUCAGAGGAGGAUCAAAUAGUAGAGAUCGAACCACAUCGCAUAAAAUCAAGUUCAACUUCACAAAUUAAACUUCACAAAUUAAAUUUUUUUGGAAAUAUCGUGUGAAUAAUUGCAUUAUUUAAAAUUAGAAAUUUUGUCAAAUUUACUAUUACCGUUAUGGUUAACUUUACCUAAGAGGACCAAACCAUAACCAUAAUAGCAACAAUGAAUCUAAGCGUGUUAAAAUUCAUUGUUUUCUCUAAAACAUUAACAAUAAUGGUAGCCAUAAGCAUAAUAAACAUAAACAUAAUGGUAAUGAUAAUGAUAUGACAUAAUAUUUGGAUUUAACGAGAUUGAUCACCUCACUUGUGAAUUGGUUUAUGCUAUUUGUUUAUCAACUUGGACGUGAGGCCGUAUACAAAUGUAGAACACACAUAGAUAACAUCAAAUGAAAUUCCAUUUUCUAAGUUAGUAUUGAUUUAUUAGUGUGGAACAUGGAUAGCUUAAAACACAAUGUAAAUUAUACCAUAAAGAAUAAUUAAAAAAAGAAAGAAAGAAAAAACUAAAAUUGAAGUGCAUAAUUUGAGUGAUGUUUUUGUUUAUUUAGGAAUUUGUCAAUUUGAGAAAAGGAAAAGGAAAAGGAAAAGGAAAAGGAAAAGAGAAGAAAAAGUGCGGGGGGUGAUGGAACCAAAACUGGGUCGUCAUUUAGAGUGGUAAAAUAUUUAAUGCAAAGCCAAUUAAUGAAUCACUUGACUAUUGAGUGUAUUGACCUCCACUUUCGUGUUCAUCCCAAAUUUACCCCAUCUUAUUUGUCCCUCCAAAUUCCUAUCUUAUGGCGAUUCCCGCUCUUUCUCCUUCCCAAUCUCAUUCUGAAGAUCAAGAAGAAGAAGAUCCAAUCUCUCCUGUUCAAAACCCUAAUUCCAUGGACCACCAACAACCCGGACAAGCAGCGGAAGCACCAGUUGACGACCCCCAGAACCACUACCAUCCUCCUCAAUCUUCUGAAACCCUAACCCUAGAUUUACCCGAUCCCCAACAAAAUUCCCCACAACCUGACCCCCAAGAUUCAGAACUUCAACUCAAUGAAGAUUUCAUCAAUGAUCAUGAUCCUAGUGACCAAGGUGAGCCCACUGCUCUCUCUCCUCGACUCGCCGAUAUCAAUGCGCUUGUUUCUCCCUCCUCUGUUUCUCGACGGGGUCCCAAGCGGAAGAAGUCUUGGAUGAAACAGAGAUUCUUUCAGGAGAAAUCUCAAAAGAAGCUUGAGAUUCUGGUUUCUACUUUCAAACCUAUUCCUUUUGUGCCUGCUAAAACUCUUGAUUUCUCCAGUCACGAGAAGCUUUUGAAUCGAUUAGGCUUGUGGGAUUUUGUUCAUACUAAGUUUGAUACGCCUUUACGACAAGAUCUUCUUAUGCAAUUGGUUGCGAAUUUUAACAACAACAAGAGGUAUAGUUAUGUUAAUGGGAAUAGAAUUAUGGUCAAUCGGGCUGAUUUGGCUCGUGCGCUGCGGUUGCCAGUGAGGAGAGCGACGUUAGUGGACAAUGGUAAGAAAGAGCCUAUUGCAUCUGAGGAAUCGAUUGCUUUUAUUGAAGAUUUUGUGUCCAACUGGUUGCUCUUACAUGAAGAUACUUGGAUGAUGCCCAAUGAGAUAAUGCAUUGGACGAAGGUGAUCAAGGAUGGGAAAUUUGAGCGAGUUGAUUGGGCAGGUUUGAUUUGGUUUAUGGUGGAAAAGGAGUUGAUGCAAUCUCCGCAGUUGGUGAAUUGUUACUAUGCUUCACAUUUGCAGUGCCUGAUCCGAUCACAACGGGAAGAUUUAUUGAAGGAAGAAGCGCCUAAGGUAGAAGAUGUUGAACACGAGGAGAAGGUCGAGCAGGAACAGGAACAGGAGCAGGAGCAGGAGCAGGAGCAAGAACUGGAACAGGAGAGAGAACCGGAUGAUGAAGAUGGAGUUUGUAAUGAGAGUCCAAAGCUAGUUGGGAACAAUGACUCCAUGGUUAAGGAAUUGGAGGAACACAAUAUUGAAUUGUGCCUUGGGCAAGACAAUGUCGAGAAAGUUGAUCAUAAGGAGAAAGAUAGUCUUGGGGAUAUGAUGGAUUUAAUGGAAAACAAAGUAGAAGAAGAAGAUGAACAUGAACAAGAAGAACAAGGUCAGUGGCUUUUGGAUGCAAAAGGUAGAGCCCCAGAGCUUCUGUUCAGGAGGUGUAAUACAAAUGAAUUCAAGGAAUUUGAUUUUGGGGAUGAGAAGAAAGCUGAAUUAGAAGAAGGGGAUGGUCAAGGAAAAGAAGAAGAUGAGGAGGAGGAAGAGGAGGAGGAAGAGGAGGAGGAGGAGGAGGUGGAGGAAGAAGAGGAAGAAGAAGAGGAGGAGGAAGAAGAGUUUCGCCUGUUGCCAAGGAGUAAUGCCAUUGAUGGGUUUCCUCCUAGCCAAUUUAUUCAAGAAAUGACAGAGCCAAUUAACUUUAACUCAGAUUUUGACUUACCUGGUCAUUCUUCUGUUGAAUUUCUUCCACCUCCCAGAGAUGAUAACCGAAUGAGUUCUGGUGGAUGUAUACCUUUUGUUAGUAACAACAAGAGAGUGAUUGAUCCUGAUAUUGACAACCCAACUCAGUCUCUUAAUGGUGGGAACAAGAGGUUAAGGAGCGAAGGUCCUCUUGACUAUGAUAAGUGUAUGGAUAACGUACAACAGUGGCUUGAUAAAGCAAGGAUGAUGUACGCAGAGAAAGAACAGGUUCAUCAGCAGGCCACUAUGAAUCAGCAAUACUUGCUUCACGAGCUGCAGCAGAGAGAGACCUUUAUUGAACAUUUGAGAAAGACAAAGUAUGAGGAGCAACAGAAGAUGCAAUCUGAUAUUUACCGGCUUGAGCGCGAGCUCUAUGUUAUGGGAAAUCUAUUGGACGGCUACAGAAAGGCAUUGAGGGAAACAAACAAAACGUUUGCAGACUAUAGGACCCGAUGCCCACAAUCCGAUGAGCCACUCUACAAAGAUGUUGCUGGUUCU